CUAACCCUAGCCCAUUCUCCAAGCCGCCGCCGCUACCGCCUCCCGCCCCUGGCACCGCCACCAUGCCCACUCGCCGUCGCGCCUUCCCCUCCUCUUCGCCAUCUCGCUGCUCAGCAGGCGGGCUGACCGGGCGUCUCCCCCGCGACCCGCAUCCCCUCUUCCCGCCGCCGCCGGCUCCUCUCCUCUCCCCGCGCCUCGUCUGCCUCCCUCUCCCUCGUCUCCUCUCCCGCACUGCUAGCCCCUUCUCACUCCUCGCCCCAGCCAUCUCUCUCCUCCCCCGCGCCGCCAGCCCCAGAUCUGGAGGAAGACGAGAGACGCGGGAUCCGCUGCUUCCCCUAGCGCCGUCCCCAUCCUCCUCCCCUGGACACAGUGAGCGUGAGCGAUAGGGCGAGGAGCAAGGCUAGUGACUGGCCAUUUCCAUUCCAAGGCAUCCCCGGCGUCGGUGUCGUUGUCCUCGCGUGCACCUGCAUCGCCAUUGACGAGAGGGGUAGGAACCACCGGCCACUCCUCUGGCUACCAACCCUUCUCCCUCGCCCUCAGCCUCGACACCGUUGGGAACAGGGAAGUCAUCAGCGACGAUGCCGGCAAGGCCGCACUGCCAACCGACUGCGUGUGCCGCCUACCAUGACCAGUAAGUUCUAGAAGAAAGAGGAGACAGAAAGAGAGAGAUGGAGUGAGAAGAAGAUACAGUGAGGGAAGAGGGAUGCCAUUGUACUAAUUGUGGAUGACCUACAGAAUGAGAAGGCUUUCUUGAAGCGGCCAAAGAUCUUCCUUUGCUAAAAGUAAGCUGACUAUGUCUGCCUGGCAAGGCAGCUAAUCACAUGACGAGUUUGGACAAUGAUGAUAGUCAUUUAAUUUUACUGCUUGCUUGGUAUUUGUUUAUGCAUACGAACAAAUCUGAUUAUGAUUGCUGCAUUGCAUAAGGUUGCUUCCUUCUGAUGAUAAAUGUCGAAUGACUAUGGUAGUUUUUUUGGCUUCACUACAUAAGGUUGCCUGUUCCUGGCUCAGACCCAUAUGUCACUCCAAUAUCUUCCUUUCUGCUCCAUAAAAGGUUCUGGUAUGUCUCAAUUCAUUCUCAGGGCAUUCAUGUCUGGUUUGUGAGGUCUGCUAAGUUUAACUCUUGCACUGCAAGAUAGGUUUCCAUCCAUUAUUACUUUUGAAUGACAACAAGUUCAGAAAUUGUUGCUCUGUAGUGAUAGUACUCUUAGAUUAUUUCAGUCUUAUUGGUUUGGAUGCUGGAAAUAUUUGUUUGUGUAAAUAAUGGUGCAUCACAACAUUUGGAUUUUAAAUUCUUAGAUUGUUUGCUAUGAUAAGGAAGUAGUCAUGUAUACAUAUACUAAUGUAGCAAUUUACCUUGCUGCUUUCGGGCCAGUCGGGGGAGCUUAUGGCAGGGUCAGCAGCUUCAGCUGCACCAAUGCAACUGUAUGUCUCUUUAGAAUAUGUACUCGGCUCAAAAUAAAA
Non-coding RNA from Triticum urartu, 1461 nucleotides. NCBI's taxonomy places the organism in Eukaryota, Viridiplantae, Streptophyta, Magnoliopsida, Poales, Poaceae. The record is from RefSeq and is a predicted model, not a curated record.